AGCUUCCCAAAACACUUUUUGAUACAGGAAAACUUGAGGAAAAGCCAUAAACGGAGGGCGGAGCUUGACUGAGCCACCGCACCCAAAACUAGAAAAUACUCCGAUGAACCCAAAAUCCUUUUGUUCCUUUCGUUUCUCGACCUUACGCCAUCUAACGUAUUUUUUGGUGCAGGGUGACCGAAAAAGCCACAAGCAGCAAAGGAGGAGCGGCGGAGCCCGACUGAGCCGCCGCGUCGAAGAUAAAAAACAUCAGUCAAUCCUCGAUUUUCUUAUUUUUUCAUCGACAGACACCACCUAACCACAAAUUAAAUAGGAUUUCACUUAGAACCACCCGAAAUCGACAUGAUUGAGAGGAGGAACUGCCGUAGAAGGAGGAACCAACGGUGGAGCACAACUGUGGCAUUGUGCCGAAACCCUAAACCGACCCCCGGUGAGAUGUUUUUGCCCUUUUGGCCAUUUUUUGCGUAUUCCCACAU
RNAcentral lists this long non-coding RNA (476 nucleotides) under Carica papaya (papaya). RNAcentral's name for it is "long non-coding RNA (CPAP_LNC009884)". The record is from RNAcentral. Lineage: Eukaryota; Viridiplantae; Streptophyta; Magnoliopsida; Brassicales; Caricaceae.